RNAcentral lists this long non-coding RNA (240 nucleotides) under Citrus maxima (pomelo). RNAcentral describes it as "long non-coding RNA (CMAX_LNC002336)". Lineage: Eukaryota; Viridiplantae; Streptophyta; Magnoliopsida; Sapindales; Rutaceae. The record is from RNAcentral.
GACUUAAUAGUAUGUGUUUAAUAAUAUGUCUUUUUACAGAAUCUCAUCCAUAAAGACAUCCAUAGCAAUCUUCAUAAGCAAAUCUCCACAAUAGCUAAAUUUAGGUUUUACAACUAGUCUGAGCAACAAAUAGUGUACUAGAUUGCCGCUAAAUCUAGGAUCCCCCAUGGCCAGAAAAUGACCAAAAAUUACUUUUUGAAUAGCCCAAAUUGAGUAUCAGUUAACUUAGUCUGUAUAUGC